AGCAGCCGCCGCGGGAAUACGUAGGGGGCGAGCGUUGUCCGAAGUUACUGGGCGUAAAGAGCGCGUAGGCUGGUCCUUAAGUGAGUGGUGAAAGGUUCGGGCUCAACCCGGACACUGCCUUUCAUACUGGGGACCUUGAGUGUGGGAGAGGCGAGUGGAAUGGUCGGUGUAGCGGUGAAAUGCGUAGAUAUCGGAAGGAACACCUGUGGCGAAAGCGGCUCACUGGACCAUUUCUGACGCUGAUGCACGAAAGCUAGGGGAGCAAACAGGAUUAGAUACCCCCGUAGUCCCUGUCUCUUAUAC
This 303-nucleotide ribosomal RNA is filed under the name uncultured bacterium. RNAcentral's name for it is "partial 16S ribosomal RNA". It matches the Rfam family "Bacterial small subunit ribosomal RNA", at positions 507 to 807 of the family's 1533-position model. The record is from RNAcentral.